AAGCGCUUGUGACCAGACUUGCACCCUGUGGAUCACCCAGUGUUCUCGCUGGGGUACUCUGCUAGGUUCAGGCCAGCAUCGGUUUUCUUAGGGGGAUAAAAGCAGUGGGAACGUAGCUCUUUCGGGAGUGUUAUAGCUCGCUGCAGAAUACCCCUCGGGGGACCGAGGUUCGCGCUCUGCAAGGAUGCUGGCAUAAUGGUCAUCAGCG
Molecule: ribosomal RNA, 208 nt
Filed under: Hypocreales sp.
Lineage: Eukaryota; Fungi; Ascomycota; Sordariomycetes; Hypocreales
Description: partial large subunit ribosomal RNA
Source: RNAcentral